RNAcentral lists this ribosomal RNA (213 nucleotides) under uncultured bacterium. RNAcentral's name for it is "partial 16S ribosomal RNA". It matches the Rfam family "Bacterial small subunit ribosomal RNA", at positions 1290 to 1500 of the family's 1533-position model. The record is from RNAcentral.
AGUUCGGAUUGUAGUCUGCAACCCGACUACAUGAAGCUGGAAUCGCUAGUAAUCGCGGAUCAGAAUGCCGCGGUGUAUACGUUCCCGGGUCUUGUACACACCGCCCGUCACACCAUGGGAGCCGGGAAUGCCCGAAGUCGGUGACCUAACCGUUUAAGGGGGGAGCCGCCGAAGGCAGGUCAGGUAACUGGGGUGAAGUCGUAACAAGGUAAC